RNAcentral lists this long non-coding RNA (547 nucleotides) under Chloebia gouldiae (Gouldian finch). Its description in RNAcentral is "Erythrura gouldiae (Gouldian finch) lncRNA (ENSEGOG00005003360.1)". The record is from RNAcentral. Lineage: Eukaryota; Metazoa; Chordata; Aves; Passeriformes; Passeridae.
CACAAACCUCCUAACGAGCAGCUGAGGGCAGGGUGGGGAUUCCAGAGAGAGACAAAUCUAUGUCCCUCAGGAGAUCUGGUGCAAACCGAUCGGUAGAAGAAGUAUUUCGCUGCUAAUUAAGUUUUGAACCUUUGGCUUCACUUAAAACAGUUUGAGAGUAUAUCAAGUUGGAGAGCAGGUGCUGACUGGCUUGAAAGCACUGGUCCAUCAAAUCAGAUUGCUGCAAAUUCAUUGACCAAAAAAACCAAGGAGGCAUCAGAAGCUAAUAUUGGUGAUGAGGAUAAAAGCAGAAACUCAGCAACAAAUACUUGGCCUGUUUGAGUGAGAGAUUUGCAACUUUCCCCAGCUUGAAAGAAGAAAAUGCAGAAAGAGUUAACAAGACAUGUUGGAUGUGGAAAAUGACUGCUCCCAAAUGAGACGUUUUGGUCCUGUGAAGAGGUAGGAGUAGCAGAGAACAUGAAUCACUUGACUAAUCUGUACAAAAUGGGCUUAGUGAGCUUCUGCUUCAAAUCUUAUCCCCACAUUAGAUAGCAUUAAACCAGUUGUC